CGCCGUGUACGACUACCUCCUCUACGGCCCGUCAACGACUACUUCCACUACGCCCCGUGUACCACUACCGUCGACCCUCGAAGAUUCCGUGGACGUCAAGUUCCUCGUCGUGACCCCGAACAUCUACGAAAACGUGUACAACUACCGUCGCCACGUGAACAACGACUUCCACUACGCCGUGUACGACUACUUCCCACGACGACCCGUGAACGUCUACCUCCACUACGGCCCGUGAACGUCUACGAGAUGUACCACUACUGUCGGCCCAUGAACGACUACUUCCCUCUAUGAAAAGCGAACCGUUCCAUUUGAACGCUUCGAAGGUAUAACCCGAGACGACCGCGAUGAGAUGCCCUUGCAUGUAUGAGAUGUACGAUAUGUUUGCACCGUGCCUGUUUGUCCUAGCAAGUUCCUCCUCGUUUGCCACGCCGUCGACCCGUGGGAACCCGGUAAUCCGGGAUCACCCCACCAUCUUGCAUGACUUGCUCACGCUCGCUUCCUUUUGCACCGGUAUCUUCGUGAGCUACCGGAACCGAUAUGUUGCUGUGGCAUCAUUUUCGGAUAUGUUGCCCUGGCACCAUUUUCGUUAUCGUUGCCGUGGCACCAUUUUCGUUAUCGUUGCCGUGGCACCCCUUUUAUUCCGCCGUGGUGACCAAAUGCUCCCUAUCAUAUUAGAUGUCAACAUUUUCAUAAAAAUUGCAUAAACUUGAUUAUGUCAUCCGCAUCAUGUUAACAACAUUUAAAUGCUUAAAAAUUGUUGUUGCAUUAAAUUACUAAAUGACAUGAGGAUUUUCCGGAAUUGUUGUUUGUUAUUUCCGGCCUCAUUUAAACUUGCCUAAAUAGUUCGUUUAAUUUUUCUUCACCUCUUGCCAUGUUUAACAACAUUUAAUAUUGUUGGGUACAUAACCGAGAUUAAACUAAAUAAGUGAUGUGGUGUUCCGUCAAUAUGGAACUCGUUGCAUAUUGAGCUCCAUUUAACUUGUAGUAUUGUUUGUUGCACUUUGCCAUGCCAUGCCUCAUUAAACCGGACAUGCAUCAUAUUUGGUUGUGCAUCAUGACAUGUUUAUGCUUGUGUAUUUACCAUAUUGUUUGCUUCUUUCCGGUUUGCUUCUCUUAGCUUCGGUUUUGUUCCGGAGUUGUGAGGAUUCGUUCGACUACGUCCGUUUGUCUUCUUCAUGGACUCGUUCUUCUUCCUAUCG
This 1199-nucleotide long non-coding RNA is filed under the name Triticum aestivum (bread wheat). Its description in RNAcentral is "long non-coding RNA (TAES_LNC027984)". Lineage: Eukaryota; Viridiplantae; Streptophyta; Magnoliopsida; Poales; Poaceae. The record is from RNAcentral.